UACGUAGGGGGCAAGCGUUGUCCGGAUUUAUUGGGCGUAAAGAGCGUGUAGGCGGCCAGUUAGGUCUGCUGUGAAAACUCGAGGCUCAACCUCGAGACGGCGGCGGAAACCAUCUGGCUAGAGUCCGGAAGAGGAGAGUGGAAUUCCUGGUGUAGCGGUGAAAUGCGCAGAUAUCAGGAAGAACACCCGUGGCGAAGGCGGCUCUCUGGGACGGUACUGACGCUGAGACGCGAAAGCGUGGGGAGCGAACAGG
RNAcentral lists this ribosomal RNA (253 nucleotides) under uncultured bacterium. Its description in RNAcentral is "partial 16S ribosomal RNA". It matches the Rfam family "Bacterial small subunit ribosomal RNA", at positions 524 to 776 of the family's 1533-position model. The record is from RNAcentral.